GUUGUUUAUUUAAAUUUUAGACUUAACUAACGUAAAAACUUUUAUAUAUUAGACCCGAAACUAGACGAUCUAAUCUAAAACAAAUUGAUGUUAUUCACACUAACUGAGGAUUGAACCCGUGAAUGUUGCAAAAUUCUGGGAUGAUUUUAGAUUAGCGGUGAAAUGCCAAUCAAGUUUAGUCAUAGCUGGUUCUCUACGAAAAUUAUUUAAGUAAUGCUGUUAGUAUUGAUUAUUUAAGGUACAUUUAUUUUUAGAUAUAGUACGAAUAUUUGGAGGUAUUCUAAAAAAAAAAUUAAUAUAAAUAAUAUUAAACUAAUAAGUUAGAUGUAUCGGCGCUAAGGUUAUACAUCGAAAGGGAAACAGCCCAGAUUAUAAAAUAAGGUUCUUAAUUAUAUAUAAGUCUAUAAAAAGUGUAAAUCUAGAAAAUUCUCUAAGAUAUUGGUAUGGAAGCUUUCACUAAAUAAUGAACGCAUAACCGCGCAAAAGAUUAAUAUAAAAUAAUGAAUAUAUUUUUGAUACUAGUUAUACGCUGAGAAUUUAUAGGAGUUAAUAUAUAUAAACCGAAUUUAUAAAAAUUGUUAUUCAAUUUGGUAGUAGAGUAUUCUAUAUAUUGUUGAUGUUUAAUUGUAAAAUUAGAUUGAAAAAUUAGUAGAAAUAAUGUUGGCAUGAGUAGUGUAAAGUGUUUUGUUUCAAUAUUUAAUGUUUGUAGCUAAUAACUAUUGAUUGUCAAUAGAUGUGUUAAUUUUUAUUGGUGUAUUGGUUUUACUGAUACUGAAUACAGAUGUUAAGUAGUUAAAUUCAACACCACUGAAAGUUAUAAGUUUUCGUUGCACUGUAAAUCAACAACGAGAAAGAAAAGAAUAUUUAAUAUUUGUACUCAAUCCCUAAAUUAUUGAAGAAAUUCGACUAAAUGACGGGUAUUAUUAUAUCGACAUAUUACAAUAUUUACAUUUUAUGAUUAUUUAGAAUUUAAUGUAAAGACGAUAAAUAUUUAAAAAAACUAUAAUUUUUAAUUUUGAGAAAUUAGUUUUGAUGAAUUAAAUUGUACAAAAUCCAACACCGGUUAACGGGUUGAAUAUACUAAAGUGAAAAGGUAAUAGAAUUUAAGGAACGCGGCAAAUUAACUUCGUAACUUCGGGAAAAGAAGGACUAAUUUAUUAGUGUAAUAAAAGAGGGGAUAGCGACUGUUUAACAAAAACACAGGACUCUGCUAAAUUUUUAUAUGAAGUAUUGAGUCUGACGCCUGCCCUGUGCUGAAAGAUGAAACAAAUUAGUAUUAUGCUAAUUAUUUUUUUUUUAAUAAAUCCCAGUAAACGGCGGCCUUAUUCUGAGGGUCCUAAGGUAGCAAAAUCCAUUGGCGAGUAAUUUUCGUCCUGUCGAAUGGCGUAACGACUUUCCCACUGUCUCAAAUUAUAUCUUUACGAAAUUGAAUUAUAGGUGAAAAUGCCUAUUAAACACAACGGGACGGAGAGACCCUAUGCAUCUUUACUAGAAUCAUAAAUUAACUUAAUCGUAUAAAAUAAACAUUGUUCUGUAUUUUUAUGCCGUCUGACAUAGAAAUACGUAAAACAUUUUUUAUUCCAAUACAUUAGGUUUAGGAUAUUUUAUACAUACCAUAUAUUUAUAGUUUAUGAGUGCUAGUUUAACUGGGGCGGUAGCCUCCAAAAUAGUAACGGAGGUGAACAAAAAAUCAAUUAAAAAUACAAUUCAUUUUGUAUUUAAUAAAUUAUAAUGAAUUACAUCCGAUUUGAUUUAAAAAUUUACAAAUUUUUAAAGAGUAUUAAGUAUACUUGUCAUAGUGAUCCGAUAUAUUUGAACGGUAGAGAUAUCGCUUAACGAAUAAAAGGUACGCUAGGGAUAACAGGCUAAUAAUUCUUAAGAGUACCCAUCGAGAGAAUUGUUUGGCACCUCGAUGUCGGCUCAUCACAUCCUGGUUGGGAAUCGUCUUCCAAGGGUUGAUCUGUUCUAUCAUUAAAGUGGUACGUGAGCUGGGUUCAAAACGUCGUGAGACAGUUUGGUCCCUAUCUGUUGUGUGUAUUGAAAAGAAAAAGAAUCUGACCUUAGUACGAGAGGACCGGGAAGGACCAAUCAAUGAUAACACAAUUAUCAAACUAAAUUGGUAUGUUGUUUUGUUAAAUUGGGAUUAAAUAAUUGCUGAAUACCAUAUGAAGCGAGAAGUUACCUUUUUUAUUUUCAUAUAAAGUUAUUAAACACAAUAAUACAAAUUUUUUCAAUGUUUAGUUUGAGAAAAUUGCAGUUGAAAAGUGUUUUUAUUUAAAUAUUUAAACAAAUAUU
RNAcentral lists this ribosomal RNA (2295 nucleotides) under wastewater metagenome. Its description in RNAcentral is "bacterial LSU rRNA". It matches the Rfam family "Bacterial large subunit ribosomal RNA", at positions 641 to 2925 of the family's 2925-position model. The record is from RNAcentral.